UUUGGAAAGAGAUGGCUGAACUCUUGUUUGUUUAUCAAGAUGGAAGAUAAGAUGUCAGUUAUUCUAAUCCCAUUAAACUGUUCUAUUUUUUCUUCUCCCUUUAUUUUUAGGUUGCUUGUGUAAUACCAGUUCACACUGCUGUUCUGCAGCCCCAUUUCCCUUUGAAUCCCUUGGUGAUAAAUCAGCCUCACUCCCCCCAUCAGAUGGCUGUUCUGCAAAGUGGAAUAAAAGCCUGCAUGGAGCAUCCCUGUAGACGUUGAGACUAAAUAUGGAUUCAGCAAGGCAUGAAGCCUGGAUACUGUUACAAGUUGCUGUUUUCUGCCCUCCCUGAAAUUUUCUGUUUCCCCUUUAGGACUGUGAGAUGGCCAGAUGGGUCCGAUCAAAUACGAGAUGAGGAGAAUGCGUAGGAAAAGCACAUUCAGCUAUUCCAGGAACAAAAUCCAGGGCUUCAGGACUACUGGAAAGCCAGUUUCUUCGUAACUGUCUUCCAGAUCUUAAAAUUGUUUUGGAUUGUUUGGGGAUUUAGGUUGUUUGGGGAUUUAGGUUGUUUGGGAUUGUUUUGGGGUGGUUGGGUGGUUGGGGGGAACUCCUCCCCUUUUCAUUCCCUCUGGCUGUUCUCCAGGUUUACAGUCAUGUCGCUACACUAUGUCAACAGUCCGGAUGCAACCCCUCAGCUGUCUUGUGCAACACUGCAUUUCUUCCUGAAGAACCAGGAAAACACAACUGAAUUUUCAGGAACCAGCAGUGACAGAAAGUUGAGCUGAGCCUACUUUGCUUGAAUGCUUUUUCAGAACGUGCAGUGCCCAUAAACGUGUUCUUUGCUGUCCCACGUGCCAGAAAUUCCAGAGGCUGCACUGCAGCUACCCAGGGCAAGGGAUAAAAUAACAGGAAAGUCAUCAUCCUUCCUCAGGGUCAAGUUUUCUACUGAAGUAGGAAUAGGUUGGAAAGGAUCUCUGCAAGUUAUCUGGACUUACUGGGUGGAGUUUCUUUUACAUCAGGUGUGGAAACUGAGUUGCAGGGCUGUGCUCAGAGCAAGCUGAGAAUCACAGACCUGUCAUCAGGUGUGAGAACCAGGAAACCUUUGAGUUCUGACUCUGUCAUGAACAGAAGUAUCAUAGCCUUUAUUCCUUAAAUGAUCCAUAAAUUAAAAUCAAAAGAAAGAAAAAAGAAAAAGCAAGGGUGAGAAUAUAAAGGGAAAUGGAUUUUGUUGCUAACCAAGUGAUAUCUGUAUGGGUGGAAUCAAAAUAGCUUCAAAUAGCAUAGGAAAUGCACCCAUUCCUGUCAGCCAGCAAACCAACCCACUAGGGACAGCAAAUCCCCCUGUAGCUGAAUCCCAGAGCUCAUGGGCAUGAUAUGUCUCCUGUGGGCUGUUGUAGUCAGCCCUGUCAAAUCCAAAAUCUUCCCUCCCUGCCUCUCUCCCAGUUGUAUUCUCUUUCUCCACCAAUUGCUAGAGAAAAAGAAAAAAGACAAUUGCUGUAGAGCUGUAUCAGAGAUGCCAAUAUAAUUAUUUUUUUCUCUUUUUUUUCCUUUUGUUUUUUUGGACAUUGCAUCUGUGGAGGAAGGAGGGGAGGACAGGGAGUUGCAAAGGCAGGGGCAGCUGAAGAGGGAAAGGAGGGGGAGAAGAAGAGAAAAUAUUUCCUUUGGCGAUUCUGUUUCGCUUUUGAAAAAGGACUACUUUCCUCACUCCUUAUCCCUCCUGACAAGUACAAGCACUUUGGGCCCUAACUGGAUGUGAACAUUGUCAAAAGGAAUUUGGGCUAAAGGGAGGCAUCUGCAGUUCUGUUCCUAUUGCGCUCGGUGCUGGAGCCACUUUUGUGAAUGUGGCAGGGUGGCUGGUGGGCAGACACCAGUACAGAUGGGAACUUCACAUACUGUAUGCAUCAUGACCAACUAUAAAAACAGUCACAACGCAUCACUUGUUACCCGACCAGGCUCCCUGGAACCUUCACUUCCAAUUUCCAUCUCGCUGACAUUCACAGCUUACACUGAGCUUUUAUGUUUAAGCAUCAGUACAGUAUUAAUGCAGGAGAAAAAGGGUGGCUGGGCUACCACAGCAAGGAAUUAAACCUCUGAUCUCGACCAGACGUUGGAAGGGAGGAGCAAUUCAAGGGGAAUUGUGUAACUGGACUCUACGGAAAAGGUGCGGGGGGAAAGCAGGGGAUGGGAGUCGGGAAUAUUUUUCGAUGCCGUGAACACACAGCAAGUCAGGAGGAUUCUGAAAAAGAAACAUAGCAAGCAGGCACUCUCCCAAAUUGUAAUUUAAUGCUUGGAAUAAUCCUAAUGUGUCAGCUACUCACCGCCAAAGAACUGAGGAUAAAUAUAACUUUAAAAAAAAAAAAUUAAGGGGAUGGCAAUUUGAACAGCUUAAUGUUUCUUCAAAGGCUGAGUGAUGGAAAGCAGCGCUGAGGUAAAUUGACAACUCGGAAUUAACUGGGUGCUGGCACAACUCAGCCAGCGCUGCCGAUGCUGUCAAGGUGGAGAUUCGAGCUUUAUGUACAGUGCCUGCAGCCCUGCCAUGAUUUAUAGGAACUGCAGCUCAAGUCUGAACCAAGAGGAAGCAAAAAUCUCCAAGUCAAAUGGCAGACUCUUAAAUUUGCUACAGCAGAGCCCUGACAUAUGGUUGGUUUGCAAGGAGUUACAAAGCUCGGUGGAUGCCAGUGAAUUCAGCCAUUUAAUGCUGAAAUAACACCAGAUU
Molecule: long non-coding RNA, 2695 nt
Organism: Corapipo altera (White-ruffed manakin)
Lineage: Eukaryota; Metazoa; Chordata; Aves; Passeriformes; Pipridae
Exons: 4
Source: RefSeq, a predicted model, not a curated record